GACGAACGCUGGCGGCGUGCCUAAUACAUGCAAGUAGAACGCUGAAGGAGGAGCUUGCUUCUCUGGAUGAGUUGCGAACGGGUGAGUAACGCGUAGGUAACCUGCCUGGUAGCGGGGGAUAACUAUUGGAAACGAUAGCUAAUACCGCAUAACAGUAGAUAUUGCAUGAUAUCUGCUUAAAAGGUGCAAUUGCAUCACUACCAGAUGGACCUGCGUUGUAUUAGCUAGUUGGUGAGGUAACGGCUCACCAAGGCGACGAUACAUAGCCGACCUGAGAGGGUGAUCGGCCACACUGGGACUGAGACACGGCCCAGACUCCUACGGGAGGCAGCAGUAGGGAAUCUUCGGCAAUGGACGGAAGUCUGACCGAGCAACGCCGCGUGAGUGAAGAAGGUUUUCGGAUCGUAAAGCUCUGUUGUAAGAGAAGAACGAGUGUGAGAGUGGAAAGUUCACACUGUGACG
Molecule: ribosomal RNA, 462 nt
Filed under: Streptococcus sp. oral taxon 431
Lineage: Bacteria; Bacillati; Bacillota; Bacilli; Lactobacillales; Streptococcaceae
Description: bacterial SSU rRNA
Rfam family: Bacterial small subunit ribosomal RNA
Source: RNAcentral